GUUUGAGGAGAAUGGUAAAAGAUUAUAAGUGUAAUGUAUAUACCUACGCCCAUAUUUAAUGUACAUUUUUAUUAAUAAAUAAUACUAUUUGUUAAUUGUAGUUAGGGUAAUUAUUAUUGAUUCAGAGUCAUAUAAUGUUAGUUGAAUUUAUAUUAGAAAAAGACUAAGCAAAAUUUAUUACUUCUAGAAUAUUAAGAUCCCGUUUAGCAUUGAACUUCAGAGGCUAAGAAAUCACGUUUAAAAAAGGUAUAUUUAGAUGCAUUUGUAAAAGAAAAAGUCUGAAAAAGUUUGUCAAGUUGUUUUAGAUUUUUUAUGACUAAAACAUGUCAAA
This 331-nucleotide unclassified non-coding RNA is filed under the name Hevea brasiliensis (rubber tree). The record is from RNAcentral. Lineage: Eukaryota; Viridiplantae; Streptophyta; Magnoliopsida; Malpighiales; Euphorbiaceae.